AACGGACGCUGGCGGCAGGCCUCAAACAUGCAAGUCUAGGGGGUGCAGCAAUGCAUCACCGGCGGACGGGUGCGUAACGCGUGGGAAUAUACCUUUUGGUUCGGAACAACUGCGGGAAACUGCAGCUAAUACCGAAUGUGCCCUAACGGGGAAAGAUUUAUCGCCAAAGGAUUAGCCCGCGUAGGAUUAGCUAGUUGGUGAGGUAAUGGCUCACCAAGGCUCCGAUCCUUAGCUGCUGAGAGGAAGAUCAGCCACACUGGGACUGAGACACGGCCCAGACUCCUACGGGAGGCAGCAGUUGGGAAUCUUGGACAAUGGGGGAAACCCUGAUCCAGCCAUGCCGCGUGAGUGAUGAAGGCCUUCGGUUG
RNAcentral lists this ribosomal RNA (368 nucleotides) under uncultured bacterium. RNAcentral's name for it is "bacterial SSU rRNA". It matches the Rfam family "Bacterial small subunit ribosomal RNA", at positions 29 to 425 of the family's 1533-position model. The record is from RNAcentral.